This 267-nucleotide ribosomal RNA is filed under the name Tulostoma squamosum. Its description in RNAcentral is "partial large subunit ribosomal RNA". It matches the Rfam family "Eukaryotic large subunit ribosomal RNA", at positions 419 to 675 of the family's 3401-position model. Lineage: Eukaryota; Fungi; Basidiomycota; Agaricomycetes; Agaricales; Agaricaceae. The record is from RNAcentral.
ACGCUUGAAGUCAGUCGCGUUGGCCGGGGAUCAGCCUCGCUCUUGCGUGGUGUAUUUCCUGGUUGACGGGUCAGCAUCAAUUUUGACCGCUGGAAAAAGAUCUGGGGAAUGUGGCAUCUUCGGAUGUGUUAUAGCCCUUUUUCAUAUACGGCGGUUAGGAUUGAGGAACUCAGCACGCCGCAAAGGCCGGGUUUCGACCACGUUCGUGCUUAGGAUGCUGGCAUAAUGGCUUUAAUCGACCCGUCUUGAAACACGGACCAAGGAGUC